Molecule: ribosomal RNA, 507 nt
Filed under: uncultured Glomeromycotina
Lineage: Eukaryota; Fungi; Glomeromycota
Description: SSU rRNA
Rfam family: Eukaryotic small subunit ribosomal RNA
Source: RNAcentral
AGCAGCCGCGGUAAUUCCAGCUCCAAUAGCGUAUAUUAAAGUUGUUGCAGUUAAAAAGCUCGUAGUUGAACUUCGAGGUUUACCCAUUGGUCAGGCUUAAUUGUCUGUACUGGUGAGAUGAAUCUCUACCUUCUGAGGAACUUUCAUGUCAUUCAUUAUUAAUUUGGUGUGAUUGGAAAUCAGGACUGUUACUUUGAGAAAAUUAGAGUGUUUAAAGCAGGCUAACGUCUGAAUACAUUAGCAUGGAAUAAUGAAAUAGGACGGACUGAUUCUAUUUCGUUGGUUUCUAGGAUCACCGUAAUGAUUAAUAGGGAUAGUUGGGGGCAUUAGUAUUCAAUUAUCAGAGGUGAAAUCCUUGGAUUUAUUGAAGACUAACUACUGCGAAAGCAUUUGCCAAGGAUGUUUUCAUUAAUCAAGAACGAAAGUUAGGGGAUCGAAGACGAUCAGAUACCGUCGUAGUCCUAACCAUAAACUAUGCCGACUAGGGAUCGGACGAAGUUAAUUUAU